RNAcentral lists this ribosomal RNA (303 nucleotides) under uncultured bacterium. RNAcentral's name for it is "partial 16S ribosomal RNA". It matches the Rfam family "Bacterial small subunit ribosomal RNA", at positions 510 to 808 of the family's 1533-position model. The record is from RNAcentral.
AGCAGCGCCGCGGGAAUACGGAGGGUGCAAGCGUUACUCGGAAUCAUUGGGCGUAAAGGACGCGUAGGCGGAUUAUCAAGUCUCUUGUGAAAUCUAACGGCUUAACCGUUAAACUGCUUGGGAAACUGAUAAUCUAGAGUAAGGGAGAGGCAGAUGGAAUUCUUGGUGUAGGGGUGAAAUCCGUAGAUAUCAAGAAGAAUACCUAUUGCGAAGGCGAUCUGCUGGAACUUAACUGACGCUAAUGCGUGAAAGCGUGGGGAGCAAACAGGAUUAGAGACCCCAGUAGUCCCUGUCUCUUAUACC